UGAAUACGAGACGCUAAGGCGUCGAAGUAGUGUAUGUCAUACUUCCAAGAAAAGCUUGCACUGUCAUAGAUAAAAAACGCCUGUACCAUAACCGACACAGGUGGGUAGGUAGAGUAUACUAAGGGGCGCGAGAUAACUCUCUCUAAGGAACUCGGCAAAAUAACUCCGUAACUUCGGGAGAAGGAGUGCCUUAUUCGUAAGGUUGCAAUAACAAGAUCCAAGCAACUGUUUAUCAAAAACACAGGUCUCCGCUAAGUCGUAAGACGAUGUAUGGGGGCUGACGCCUGCCCAGUGCCAGAAGGUUAAAGAAGUUGGUUAGCAAUUGCGAAGCUGAUAACUGAAGCCCUGGUGAACGGCGGCCGUAACCAUAACGGUCCUAAGGUAGCGAAAUUCCUUGUCGGGUAAGUUCCGACCCGCACGAAAGGCGUAAUGAUUUGGAUACUGUCUCGGAGAGGGGCUCGGUGAAAUAGACUUGUCUGUGAAGAUGCGGACUACCUGCACCAGGACAGAAAGACCCUAUGAAGCUUUACUGUAACUUGAAAUUGAAAUUGGACUUUAUUCGCGCAGUAUAGGUGGGAGGCGUUGAUUAUAAUCUUGUGGGAUUAUUGGAGCCAUCAGUGAGAUACCACUCUUGUAAUGUUAGAUUUCUAACUUUGAAUCAUUAUCUGGUCAAAGAACAGUUUCAGGCGGGCAGUUUGACUGGGGCGGUCGCCUCCUAAACGGUAACGGAGGCGUACAAAGGUUUCCUCUGAACGGUUAGAAAUCGUAUCUAGAGUGUAAAGGCAUAAGGAAGCUUGACUGUGAGACCUACAAGUCGAGCAGGGACGAAAGUCGGUCUUAGUGAUCUGACGGUACUGAGUGGAAAGGCCGUCACUCAACGGAUAAAAGUUACUCUAAGGAUAACAGGCUGAUCUCCCCCAAGAGUUCACAUCGACGGGGAGGUUUGGCACCUCGAUGUCGGCUCAUCGCAUCCUGGGGCGGUAGUACGUCCCAAGGGUUGGGCUGUUCGCCCAUGAAAGCGGUACGCGAGCUGGGUUCAGAACGUCGUGAGACAGUUCGGUCCAUAUCCGGUGUAGGCGUUAGAAUAUUGAGAGGAGCCUUCUUUAGUACGAGAGGACCGAGAAGGACAUACCUCUGGUGUACCAGUUAUCGUGCCAACGGUAAACGCUGGGUAGCUAUGUAUGGAGUGGAUAACCGCUGAAAGCAUCUAAGUGGGAAGCCCACCUCAAGAUAAGUA
This 1237-nucleotide ribosomal RNA is filed under the name metagenome. RNAcentral's name for it is "bacterial LSU rRNA". It matches the Rfam family "Bacterial large subunit ribosomal RNA", at positions 1564 to 2810 of the family's 2925-position model. The record is from RNAcentral.